Molecule: long non-coding RNA, 1662 nt
Organism: Equus asinus (donkey)
Lineage: Eukaryota; Metazoa; Chordata; Mammalia; Perissodactyla; Equidae
Source: Ensembl
UUCCUGUCUCUUGGGAUGCUUGCUCUUGGAACACAGCCACUGUGCGGAGAGGAAGCCAAAGGAGCUGGUGGGGACGAGGGGCCCACGUGGAGAGGAACCGACACUCUGAGCCCAUGACCCUGGCUGGACGCUCAGCACCAACGUGCCAGUCCCAGGAGUGAACCGAGCUGGAGCCCCGAGUCCAGCCACCCCAGCUGACAGCAUGUGGAGCAGAGACGAGCUGCCUGCUCAUGCUCUGCCCAGACAGCAGAUACACGAGCACAAGAUGUGCCUGUUGUUCUUUUAAGCCACUAAGUCAUAGGGUGGUUGAUUAUUGGGCAAGAGAAAGCUGGCGUACCUGGCAGUGGGGAGCAAGCCCGGCAAGUCCUCCCAGACAGUCACUUGUGCGUUCCUUAAAGCAACGCCCACCUCCACCAUCCCGGAGACUCCUUUCUCUGGAGACUCAGCUCAUCUCUCUGGAUGAAGAUGAUGAUCAGCAGGAAGUCUAUUCCCAGGAGCCCAUCCUCCCUCCCUUCUCAUUUCUCUUCUCCCUCAGCAUCCCCACGCCCCACCUGUUGUUUUCUCAUCCCUCCUUCCAGCAGACACCUUCUUCUCCGCCUCAGGUCUUGCAGCUCUGCAAAGGACUCCACCGCAGGCCUGGUGGAAAUCUCAGGGGGUGCUCUGUGCGUGUGCAUGCAUGUGAGUGUGCGUGUGUGCACGUGUGUAUGUGGAUGGGUGCGCGUGUGAGCGCGCCCGCGUGUGUAUGGGGUAAUGUGGCCUACAUUGCAGGCAGAUAGCGGGUAGUAGAGGAGCCAUCAUUUUGAUUGCUGAUGUUUUUGGUGGGUCAACUGGAAACCAACCACUCUUCUUUUAAGAUAUUUUAAAAUUAAAAUCAAACUUUUCUGAUUAUACCAUUCUGCAUUUUUCAAAUUUUCUGCAACGGACACGGAUUACUUUCAUAAUGAAGAAAAUAAAACUCACUUCCAGUUUCAACACUCAGAGUUGACCAGAAUUCACAUUCUGAAGUAGAAGUUCCAGGUGAAGCACCAUACACAUUUGGGAGGCUCCUGAUGUGGAGGACACAGUGACCCUUCUGAAACGUCAGCAUGGCCUCAGGAACCACGUCCUGACUGUCUGGGAGUCUCUCACUCUUAUUCCCAGGGAGACCAAGACGGGGAAAACAAGGGAAGAGAAGACCAGGUGAAGACGUGAGAAAGACAAGCAAGAGAUAAGGAUCAGCCACCACUCCUUUUACUCCUAAGGAAAUGGAGGCCCACGAAAGAUGAGAGCUACACGACUAAUGAGUGGUAGAGCAUGGAUUCUGGCCCGGGUCUGCGGGGCUCCCAGCCCAUGCCAGUGUGAACAGAAGGAAUUCCUCUGGAAAGGCAAUUGCAUAUCAGUCCCAGCUCUUCCUGGGGCAGAAAGCUGACACCUGCACUUAGAGAAGGAAGCCAUCCUGUGGGCAGAGGGCCGAGCAUUUCCCCUAAAGCCAUCUCCCUCUUCUUUCAAGCCAGGCUUAAAUAUCCAAACCGCAAAGGAAGAUGAAAGAAGCUUGUUGAUGAAGUCCUCCACCCUGGGAAGAGGAAGAUAAAAAAAAAGAGAAAGAAAGGGAAGACAAGAACAGAGGGAGGGGGGAGGAAACAAUCCUUGACAAAUAUUUUCUGUUAAUAAAUUCCAUUUUGC